RNAcentral lists this ribosomal RNA (679 nucleotides) under Argulus japonicus. Its description in RNAcentral is "partial large subunit ribosomal RNA". It matches the Rfam family "Eukaryotic large subunit ribosomal RNA", at positions 696 to 1294 of the family's 3401-position model. Lineage: Eukaryota; Metazoa; Arthropoda; Ichthyostraca; Arguloida; Argulidae. The record is from RNAcentral.
GGGCGACUAAACCCAAAGGCGCAUGAAGUGAAGGUUCCCUUCGGACUCUAGGGAGGAUCCGUUUUAGGACGGACGAGGGGGUCAAACUCCUUGUCCGCCCCGGCGCACUCCCGGGGCGUCCCGACCGCUAUUUGCCGGUGGGGCGCACCUAGAGCGUACACGUUGGGACCCGAAAGAUGGUGAACUAUGCCUGGCCAGGACGAAGCCAGAGGAAACUCUGGUGGAGGUCCGUAGCGAUUCUGACGUGCAAAUCGAUCGUCGGAGCUGGGUAUAGGGGCGAAAGACUAAUCGAACCAUCUAGUAGCUGGUUCCCUCCGAAGUUUCCCUCAGGAUAGCUGGUGCUCGGAGAGUUGGACGACUUUAUCAGUCUCAUCCGGUAAAGCGAAUGAUUAGAGGCCUUGGGGCCGAAAUGACCUCAACCUAUUCUCAAACUUUAAAUGGGUGAGAAGUCGGGCUUGCUUGACACAACCCUCACGGGUUUGAAGCUUGACACAGGAUGUAAGAGCACCCAGUGGGCCACUUUUGGUAAGCAGAACUGGCGCUGUGGGAUGAACCAAACGCCGGGUUACGGCGCCCGAUACGACGCUCAUUAGACCCCAUGAAAGGUGUUGGUUGCUUUAGACAGCAGGACGGUGGCCAUGGAAGUCGGAAUCCGCUAAGGAGUGUGUACUAACUCACC